This is a small nucleolar RNA of Gadus morhua (Atlantic cod), 75 nucleotides long. NCBI's taxonomy places the organism in Eukaryota, Metazoa, Chordata, Actinopteri, Gadiformes, Gadidae. The record is from Ensembl.
UGAGCAAUAUGAUGAUACUAUAAGCGGAAUCCGAGCUCGCUAUGAGGAUAACUACCUUGGAGAACUGAUUGCUCA